RNAcentral lists this ribosomal RNA (234 nucleotides) under uncultured bacterium. RNAcentral's name for it is "partial 16S ribosomal RNA". It matches the Rfam family "Bacterial small subunit ribosomal RNA", at positions 524 to 758 of the family's 1533-position model. The record is from RNAcentral.
UACGGUAGGGCAAGCGUUGUCCGGAAUCAUUGGGCGUAAAGAGCGCGUAGGCGGUCCGGUAAGUCCGCUGUGAAAGUCAAGGGCUCAACCCUUGAAAGCCGGCGGAUACUGUCGGACUAGAGUCCGGAAGAGGCGAGUGGAAUUCCUGGUGUAGCGGUGAAAUGCGCAGAUAUCAGGAGGAACACCGAUGGCGAAGGCAGCUCGCUGGGACGUUACUGACGCUGAGACGCGAAA